AAAUGCAAAAUCUAAAACAGCAAAUGAGCCCUGAGAGAGUCACCUAAUCCUGGCAUCCAAUUUUUAUUCCACAGACAUUAAAACCAAUCUCCCAAGAAGCAGCAGCAUCAGAAAUUUACCGCCCUCGAGUAAAACUUACCAUAUACUUCCUGUUUCUCUGGAUAAAAAUCUAGAGGAAGAAAUCAUCUCUAUUAUUCACAUAAGCUCACAAUCAUCCAGGUCAUCAAAAC
This 230-nucleotide long non-coding RNA is filed under the name Phoenix dactylifera (date palm). Its description in RNAcentral is "long non-coding RNA (PDAC_LNC019624)". Lineage: Eukaryota; Viridiplantae; Streptophyta; Magnoliopsida; Arecales; Arecaceae. The record is from RNAcentral.